This 429-nucleotide ribosomal RNA is filed under the name Gemmatimonadota bacterium. RNAcentral describes it as "Gemmatimonadetes bacterium partial 16S ribosomal RNA". It matches the Rfam family "Bacterial small subunit ribosomal RNA", at positions 355 to 776 of the family's 1533-position model. The record is from RNAcentral. Lineage: Bacteria; Pseudomonadati; Gemmatimonadota.
UAGGGAAUCUUCGGCAAUGGACGAAAGUCUGACCGAGCAACGCCGCGUGAGUGAAGAAGGUUUUCGGAUCGUAAAACUCUGUUGUUAGAGAAGAACAAGGACGUUAGUAACUGAACGUCCCCUGACGGUAUCUAACCAGAAAGCCACGGCUAACUACGUGCCAGCAGCCGCGGUAAUACGUAGGUGGCAAGCGUUGUCCGGAUUUAUUGGGCGUAAAGCGAGCGCAGGCGGUUUCUUAAGUCUGAUGUGAAAGCCCCCGGCUCAACCAGGGAGGGUCAUUGGAAACUGGGUGACUUGAGUGCAGAAGAGGAGAGUGGAAUUCCAUGUGUAGCGGUGAAAUGCGUAGAUAUAUGGAGGAACACCAGUGGCGAAGGCGGCUCUCUGGUAUGUAACUGACGCUGAGGCUCGAAAGCGUGGGGAGCAAACAGG